This 265-nucleotide ribosomal RNA is filed under the name uncultured bacterium. Its description in RNAcentral is "partial 16S ribosomal RNA". It matches the Rfam family "Bacterial small subunit ribosomal RNA", at positions 524 to 785 of the family's 1533-position model. The record is from RNAcentral.
UACAGAGGGUGCAAGCGUUAAUCGGAAUUACUGGGCGUAAAGCGCGCGUAGGUGGUUCGUUAAGUUGGAUGUGAAAGACCCCGGGCUCAACCUGGGAACUGCAUCCAAAACUGGCGAGCUAGAGUACGGUAGAGGUGGUGGAAUUUCCUGUGGUAGCGGUGAAAUGCGUAGAUAUAGGAAGGAACACCAGUGGCGAAGGCGACCACCUGGACUCGAUACUGACACUGAGGUGCGAAAGCGUGGGGAGCGAAACAGGAUUAGAUAC